UGGGGAAUAUUGCACAAUGGGCGCAAGCCUGAUGCAGCCAUGCCGCGUGUAUGAAGAAGGCCUUCGGGUUGUAAAGUACUUUCAGCGAGGAGGAAGGCGGUAAGGUUAAUAACCUUAUCGAUUGACGUUACUCGCAGAAGAAGCACCGGCUAACUCCGUGCCAGCAGCCGCGGUAAUACGGAGGGUGCAAGCGUUAAUCGGAAUUACUGGGCGUAAAGCGCACGCAGGCGGUCUGUCAAGUCGGAUGUGAAAUCCCCGGGCUCAACCUGGGAACUGCAUUCGAAACUGGCAGGCUAGAGUCUUGUAGAGGGGGUAGAAUUCCAGGUGUAGCGGUGAAAUGCGUAGAGAUCUGGAGGAAUACCGGUGGCGAAGGCGGCCCCCUGGACAAAGACUGACGCUCAGGUGCGAAAGCGUGGGGAGCAAACA
This 426-nucleotide ribosomal RNA is filed under the name uncultured bacterium. RNAcentral's name for it is "partial 16S ribosomal RNA". It matches the Rfam family "Bacterial small subunit ribosomal RNA", at positions 355 to 774 of the family's 1533-position model. The record is from RNAcentral.